RNAcentral lists this ribosomal RNA (541 nucleotides) under Ascomycota sp. H-12. RNAcentral describes it as "eukaryotic LSU rRNA". The stretch from base 189 to 342 matches the Rfam family "5.8S ribosomal RNA". The record is from RNAcentral. Lineage: Eukaryota; Fungi; Ascomycota.
AGGGAUCAUUGCUGGAACGCGCCCCAGGCGCACCCAGAAACCCUUUGUGAACUUAUACCUUACUGUUGCCUCGGCGCUAGCUGGUCCUUCGGGGCCCCUCACCCUCGGGUGUUGAGACAGCCCGCCGGCGGCCAACCCAACUCUUGUUUUUACACUGAAACUCUGAGAAUAAAACAUAAAUGAAUCAAAACUUUCAACAACGGAUCUCUUGGUUCUGGCAUCGAUGAAGAACGCAGCGAAAUGCGAUAAGUAAUGUGAAUUGCAGAAUUCAGUGAAUCAUCGAAUCUUUGAACGCACAUUGCGCCCUCUGGUAUUCCGGAGGGCAUGCCUGUUCGAGCGUCAUUUCAACCCUCAAGCCUGGCUUGGUGAUGGGGCACUGCCUGUAAAAGGGCAGGCCCUGAAAUUCAGUGGCGAGCUCGCCAGGACCCCGAGCGCAGUAGUUAAACCCUCGCUUUGGAAGGCCCUGGCGGUGCCCUGCCGUUAAACCCCCAACUUCUGAAAAUUUGACCUCGGAUCAGGUAGGAAUACCCGCUGAACUUAA